Molecule: ribosomal RNA, 292 nt
Filed under: uncultured bacterium
Lineage: Bacteria
Description: partial 16S ribosomal RNA
Rfam family: Bacterial small subunit ribosomal RNA
Source: RNAcentral
CUUUACCUUGAGAAAAAUUAGAGUGUUCCAGGCAGGCUUGCGCCGGAAUACAUUAGCAUGGAAUAAUAGAAUAGGACUUUAGUCUCCUUUGUUGGUUUGAGGCUCGAAAGCGUCGGGGAGCAAACAGGAUUAGAUAACCCUGGUAGUCCACGCCGUAAACGAUGAUUACUAGGUGUGGGGCGGUCUGACCCGUUCCGUGCCGGAGUUAACACAAUAAGUAAUCCACCUGGGGAGUACGGCCGCAAGGUUGAAACUCAAAGGAAUUGACGGGGGCCCACAGUCGACGCGGCCG